This 684-nucleotide ribosomal RNA is filed under the name Imitatirotula hainanensis. Its description in RNAcentral is "Peroneutypa sp. SL-2022a partial large subunit ribosomal RNA". It matches the Rfam family "Eukaryotic large subunit ribosomal RNA", at positions 112 to 817 of the family's 3401-position model. The record is from RNAcentral. Lineage: Eukaryota; Fungi; Ascomycota; Sordariomycetes; Xylariales; Diatrypaceae.
AAUUUGAAAUCUGGCCCUCGGGUCCGAGUUGUAAUUUGCAGAGGAUGCUUUUGGCGCGGUGCCUUCCGAGUUCCCUGGAACGGGACGCCGCAGAGGGUGAGAGCCCCGUACGGUUGGACACCAAGCCUCUGUAAAGCUCCUUCGACGAGUCGAGUAGUUUGGGAAUGCUGCUCUAAAUGGGAGGUAAAUUUCUUCUAAAGCUAAAUACCGGCCAGAGACCGAUAGCGCACAAGUAGAGUGAUCGAAAGAUGAAAAGUACUUUGAAAAGAGGGUUAAAUAGCACGUGAAAUUGUUGAAAGGGAAGCGUUUAUGACCAGACCUCGGCCGGGCGGAUCAUCCGGUGCUCUGCACCGGUGCACUUCGCCCGUCCCAGGCCAGCAUCGGUUCUCGCAGGGGGACAAAGGCCCGGGGAACGUGGCUCCCUCCGGGGAGUGUUAUAGCCCCGGGCGCAAUGCCCCUGCCGGGGACCGAGGUUCGCGCUCCGGCAAGGAUGCUGGCGUAAUGGUCAUCAAUGACCCGUCUUGAAACACGGACCAAGGAGUCGAACAUUUGUGCGAGUGUUUGGGUGUCAAACCCUCACGCGUAAUGAAAGUGAACGGAGGUGAGAGCCCGUAACUGGGUGCAUCAUCGACCGAUCCUGAUGUCUUCGGAUGGAUUUGAGUAGGAGCAUAACUGUUCGGACCC